AUUCCAGCUCCAAUAGCGUAUAUUAAAGUUGUUGCGGUUAAAAAGCUCGUAGUUGGAUUUCUGCCGAGGACGACCGGUCCGCCCUCUGGGUGAGUAUCUGGCUCGGCCUGGGCAUCUUCUUGGAGAACGUAGCUGCACUUGACUGUGUGGUGCGGUAUCCAGGACUUUUACUUUGAGGAAAUUAGAGUGUUUCAAGCAGGCACACGCCUUGAAUACAUUAGCAUGGAAUAAUAAGAUAGGACCUCGGUUCUAUUUUGUUGGUUUCUAGAGCUGAGGUAAUGAUUAAUAGGGAUAGUUGGGGGCAUUCGUAUUUAACUGUCAGAGGUGAAAUUCUUGGAUUUGUUAGAGACGGACUACUGCGAAAGCAUUUGCCAAGGAUGUUUUCAUUA
Molecule: ribosomal RNA, 389 nt
Filed under: Peridiniales sp.
Lineage: Eukaryota; Dinophyceae; Peridiniales
Description: partial small subunit ribosomal RNA
Rfam family: Eukaryotic small subunit ribosomal RNA
Source: RNAcentral